RNAcentral lists this long non-coding RNA (9453 nucleotides) under Capsicum annuum. RNAcentral's name for it is "long non-coding RNA (CANN_LNC005008)". Lineage: Eukaryota; Viridiplantae; Streptophyta; Magnoliopsida; Solanales; Solanaceae. The record is from RNAcentral.
CGAUUAUCAACUAGUCAUUAUUUUACCACUUAAACAACAUUCACUAAUCAUCAAUUAUACCAUCUUCUAAUCAUUUGCCACCUUUUGGCCUUAUUCGGCCUCGCUAAUACCAAUUUCAUGCCAGACUACAUAUAAGUGUGUGUAUAUAUAUAUGAUAGCAAUACAUAGUGCAUAUUUGGACUUAAACCAAUAGAUGUACACAUAUGCACAUUAAUAUAAUCAUUCUUUGGCCUUGUACGGGAUUAAUACAUCAGCAUAAACAUCCUCCGACCUUACCGGGUAUGAAUAUGUCAUCAAAAUCAUCCUCCGGAUUUAUCGGGUAUCAAUAUAUCUUCAUAAUCAUCCCUUGGCCUUGCAUGUAUCAAUAUAUCAUCAUAAGCACUCUCUGAACUUGUCGAGUAUUAAUAUAUAAUCACAAUCUGUAUCAGAUAUCAAUAUAAAUAUAUUAAUACUAAUAAUUGAACUCAAAUGGAUAGCCACAUCAUCAUAGAUGAUGGAAAAAUCAAUAGCAUGACUGAUCAUUUUAUAAAUAUUCAUGAUCUCAAGCAUAAUUGAUAGCAUAACUUCCCAUAUAAUCAAUAAGUAUGAUUUCUAACUUUAUUCAUGGCACAAUUUCUAAUAUCAUCAACAGGGAUGUUCUCUAGCAUGAUUACUAACGUACUUUCUUAGCACAAUCAUAAUCAUAAGAAAUAUCAUGAGCAAUGGCUUACCAAUAGUAUAUUUAAUGGCUUAUCAUUAGUAUAAAAGAUAGUUUAUCAUUUGAAUCAUUUUAUAGUUAUCAAAGUAUGAUUUAUAGCGCAUUCAUAGAGAAAUCCAACCAUCUUUAUCAAUUAGUCCAUGAUCAUUACUUCUAAUAUCGUUACAACUAUAAUAAAUUACCAUGGUUCCUUAAUAUUUCCUCAAAAGGUCAUUCUCUAGGUAUUCAAAAAAUGUAUAAGGGUUUCAAGGGAACUAAUCAUCAAUCUUGACUUAAGGUGGGUAAAAGAGCCCACUUCUAAAUCUCUAAAAUACAUUCUAAGUCAAAUUCUACCCCGGACUAGGCUAAGGUAUCUAAAUCCACUAUUACAUGUAUAGCAAGCCACAAUUUGUCCUAUGGUAAUGGUUCUUCUCAAACACAACAACUAAGCCAAUAUAUUAACUAAAGCAACCUUCCUUAAUGAAAGAACUAAGGCCAAUCUUACCCUAAGUAUGGGUGUCUAAAGAAUUUUUAUCUAACUUGAGCGAUCUAAGGUAUUCUCAUGCUAAACAUGAUACAUGAAGCCUAAUUCACCUAAGGCAUAAGAAAACAAGUCAAAUGUCUUAAAUCUAUGGUUUCAAAUGACUUAAAUGGUCAAACUAACCACUACCACCCAGUCUUGCAUCUCAUCAAUCCAACAUCUAAAACUCAUUCCAAUCUAACAAGAUAUCAUAAACAUACUAUGACAUAGCUUAAUAUAAGAAGCGAUAAACCUAGCCUACCUCAAUGCUGAAAAAAACUCAAUGAACCGCUAAACCACCAUUUUCACCUUUCAAGAAACCUCCACAAGAGUCCAAGAUAUCAAAAACACAUUAUACUCAUCAAUAUGAGAAUAACAAUACCCAUAUUACACCAUUGUGCUUUGGGUCCAAAAAUCAUACCAAAUCCCCAUGUGGAUCCUACUUACGAAAAUCACAUUUCUGAAACCAACCCAACAUAAUAUCAAGCUCAAGUAAUCAUUACCCUAAAAAAUUGAUGUAAACUAAGCUAAAUUAGGGAUAAAAUCAAGCCCUUAAGGAUUUGGGGUUUUGAGCAAGAAAUAAAGAAAUUUCACCAAGAAAAGGGUGAAUUAUUACCUCAAAUCCAAAUAUAAUUGCAAAAAAUAAAUGUUAGUCUAGCUUCUCAAACAACAACAAGCUUCAAUUUUAAGCUAUCACGCUUUUAUGGUUUAUUCUCUCAAGAAAGGGGUGAGAAAUUGCUAAAUUUGCAAUAUUUGGGGUCUAUUUAUACCCAUACUAAGUGCUUGGGUCCCAUUAUCGCAGACCCAGACCUGCGAUCAUAACUUAUGACACUAGGAUCAAAUGUUACGAUCGUAACACCCCUUCUAACAAUUGCACCACGUUCUCUGCUACAGGUAUCGUAAUCGCGACCCUUGGCUUGCGAUUUGCAGCUUCACCAGAUGAUAGCUGAAACUUGGAAAAUCUUCCAAGUUUCUGUCAAGCCCUCAGGAUUCAUCCAAAAUCCCAUAUACAAAAUUGAACUAUGUAACCAUACCAAAUUAGAUGUUACAGAUUAUAUGAAGCACUCAGAAUUUAUAUCCGAGGUCUUUUUGACCAAAUGCGAGUCCCACACUCAUAUUUCAUUUUCUUAACUUUUAGACCAAUAGGUCAAAAUAAGCUCGAGUGCCUUGGGACCUAAACCAAGGAUCUACAUAGCCUAAAAUUGAUAUUUCAAGGCUGUUGGUGUAGUCAAAAUUUGCAUAUGAGAUCAUUUUGCUGAAGUUUUUUCCCCAUGGUCAUUUGGAACAAAUGAAGAAUUCAAAAUGGGGAAUUAGCUCUAAAAACCAAACAAACUACCCGGUAAUCAAACUGUCAAGUCCAAAAAGUCAUAAAUGUCUUGGGACAGCUCUAGAAAAGCUUUAGCGGCAAAAAGAAGCAGAAACAUAGAAAAUGACUUAAAGGGUCAUUAUAAAUCCUAAUCUUUGAUAUUAUGCCUACCACUCACUCAGACUCAUACUAAUUAAUGACCUCCACACAUGGUACAUAUUAUUUUAUUACAUACUUUCCCAUCCACCAUGUUUAUACCUACAAUUCUAUAACUAACUAUACACAACUAUGUACACAUAACUUACAACUCUUCCAAACUGAAAAAAAUCCCUCACAACACUCGGGCCUUUAGUACCCCCUCUUGAUAUCCCCAAACUAAGAUUUACAGACCCCUGAUCUUACUGAAGGUAUACUCUGGGUCUAACACUCACUCAUAACAUUCAUAGUCAUCUUAACCAUUCUUCUAACCAUCUAAUAUGCUUAUACUUAUUGGCCAACCUCUAGAUCAUGCAAGACUUAUAUCCUAAGGAGCAAAAUAAUUCAAUAACAUAUCAUCUAAUAUCAUACAAUCUAGGCCUAUUCCAGUUAUCACAUUCCAUCCAACAAAAAUCCAUGCACGAAAGCCUAAGGAAUGGAAUGUCCCAACAUUAAUAUCAUUAUUACAUGCAUCUAGGCCAAGCUACUAUAAUUAAACCAUAACCUAUUUGGUAGAUAAAUUUCAUUACAAAUAAGAGAGAAGUGUUGUCCCAUAUGUGCUUGGCCACUUCUAACAUUGGAAUUCUAUCAUAAAUGCUAUAGAAUCACCCUCAUGAAGCUCAAUUUCCAAUUUCUCAUUAUUCUAGGCAAUGGGUUCACUUAUGGUGUUUUUGAAAGAGCGAGAUGACAUAAGGAGAAUCAGCUAAAUGAAGGUUUCAAUUAGCCCUUGGUUUAGGUACUCCUUGAUUGCCGAUGUAGUGGCAGAAGUGUCACUACAACUUAGAUCUACCACUACAGUGGCAGGUCAGUGGCCUAGUGCAAUUUGUCAUAAUCCCAUGCCAAUUAAAUUUGGGAUACUUUUUCCCAUAAAGUAUGUUUUACAAAGACAAAAAAUGGAUUUAUUAAUUGCUACAUUUCCUGGGGAUUGUUUUUAAAAUGACAAUGAUUUGGGUUUUUAUAUUAGAUACCAAUUUACCCUCUAUUUAUCCUCAAUUAUAGAGAAAGGAAAAUAAUUUUAGCACUAUUCUUAAAAUUCAACGUGCAUGGUGAUUUGAAAAUGAAUGAUAUUAACUGCUAAAGAAAAUUACUAUCAUAAUUUAUGAAAUGUGUCAUUUGAAUUACUCAGUACACUGUAAAAUACUGUAAUUCAUGAAAAUUCAUAGUAAAUAAAACUUUAGGGAUCCUGCCUCUACAGCGGCAGACCUAUCAUUGUAGCAAUACUGCUACAUCGAUAGAAUUAUAUUUAUUGUGGAGUUUGGUAGUGACAAAUAGGGGAAAUAUUGAUUUCUCUUACUUUUAAAUCACACUCGUCAAAAAUCUCUGAAUUAUCUUUGAGGUAAUGUUUUUUCAAUGACAAUACAAUGUAAUUUCAUAUCCUGACUACUUCUUUUAUGCACUUAUCAUCAUAGAAUCACAAAAUCAAGAGUAGAAAAAGAAUUUUUUGGGUUGGUUUUCUUGGUGCAAUUUUUAAUUUUUAAUUUUGGUAGCUUUCUUGCUUGAUAUGAAAAGCAUGAUAGAUCUCCUGCGUAACACUCCAACAAUAUUCUAGGCUUAAUGCUGAUGUUGUUCAUGGUGUCUUUUGUCUUAGAAAGGGUGGAAGAAGAACAUUCACCCUUUCCAAUGAUUUAGAAUAAUUUGGGCAUGAUUUUGGGUGUUAGUCACCCCUAUUUUUGUGUAAACUAUUUCACACAUACUCUACCAAGUACAAUUUAUACUUAGAAAUAAAAUUUGAUGUGUAGUUGUAAUUCCGCUAUAAGAGGGUGGUUAGGACUGGCUGAGGAUGAUGGAACUACUUCACCAGUGGAUUUUUUGUUGCAAAGACACCACUACAACAAAGCUUCUGCCGUUGUGACGUCAACUAAUAGCUCCUCCAGAUUUCUUUUCUUGUUUUUGAAUUUUCUUCCCUUCCUAGCAUUUUAACUCAUUUUCUAAUGUUGUAAUAUCAAAAUUUUUAGGACUACUAUGGAUAAACAACCCUAAUAUAAAUGGUCUCCCAACUCUGCCAUUCAUGAACAUUAUGAGGAGAGGUUUCUCAAUAGAGGAUUCCUUCGUGAGAGAGGAUUUAUGAUGAAGGAUGUAGAGGAUGAGCCACCUGACUUCUACGACCAGCUUAAGGCUUUUAGUUGGGAAAUGCUAGCGGAGUCAGUCCCUAAAUGCAAUUUGGAUAUAGUUUGGGAGUUCUAUGACAUACUCCUAAUGAUGGUGAGUCUAUGCCCCUUCUACCAUCCACAUUCGAGGGAAAUACAUUCUAAUGGAUAAUAACACCAUCAACGAUACCUUAGGGGUUCUAGACCCCUCUAAUGCCCCCUUUACGGAUAAAAUUAUAGAGUCAGACUUGAAAUAGGUGGCACAAAACAUAGCUCCAGAUGAUGAUAAGGGUAAGGUAAAGUAGACUAGCUUCAAGGGGACCAAAAGAACUCCCUUUUCAUUAGAGGUUCAAGGAUUUCUGCAGUUGAAGUCUCGAUGGAUUCGACCUUCAGGAAAUAUGAUGGAUGUACCCUUCAAUAGAGCUACGAUAGUGUUCUCCACUCUAUUAGGGAUAUAUACUAAAUGGUGGGAUGUAGAUUAUUAUCAAAUAGCAGCAUUUAUAAACUAAGUGGGGUCCUUAAGGGAUCUAGUUUUUCCUUCUAUGAUCACCUAGCUAGUGUACAAAGGUGUGGAGGUGCCAAGGAAGUGCAUGAUACCUUGAAAGAACAAGAUGUGUCUUUCAAUAAAUUUAGUGGUAAAUUUUAAUAUAGAGGGAGAAAGAACAAUAGAAAGCUAGUGGAUCAGAGGAGCGUGAGAGUAAUAGGGUCAGAGAGGGAUAGCAGACUAGCACCACUCCUACAUCGACUCAUUUAUUCCUCGAUGGUUGGGAGACCGACCUCUUUGUUGUAUGAGGUUCCAUUAGCCUCCUCUAGGUUUGGCUUCUUAAAUCACCACUACUCCACCUUACUUGGCCAGAGCCAAUGCGGAGCUCCAAAUGGAGCUAGAUAAUAAGAAAAAGAAAAGGUGCACCCAGUAUUUCUUGAUGGUCAGACUAUGGAAGGUUGUGUGAGUUAUGUUUAAGCGUGUUUCCCUUACUAUAAAGUUCCCAAAGUUGUCAAAGAAGGAGGAGAGGAGUUCUCUUUUCUUAGCAUGAAGGAGAAAAGAUCUGAUGCUCAAGCCACGAAGAUAAGGACACCAUCUAGAUCCCUCCUAUUUCAUUUAGUAUUUUCUAGUUCUUGAGUUUUGGUAUGUAACAAAAAACCUAUUUCCUUUAAUUUAUUGCAAUUUUAGGACAUCAAAUGUUACCAUACAUUUUUCAAUUGUAAUUAACAAACACAGGGUCAUUUUUGCAAUGAAGAAAAAAUGUAAAAUAGGAAGGUUUGGCAGUCUUACUGCCUAGCGUUGCUAUGGUGAAGGAAUAACCGCUAUAGCGGCGAAAGUUCAACUGCAGCUAUAGUGUAGAAGUGGAAUAGAGCCUCUACAACAACAUUGUUGUGACACACACUGGUGGCUCUGAUUUUUCAACCUUUCCAUGUACUUUCUCACAUGAUGCUAUCUCAUGAACAUUUUAUUCCCUCUACCCCUCAUUCCUUAGAAAUUUUUAGACCAAGAAUGCCAAAUUUUAUAAGUCUAAGUUAUUGUUAAUACAGUUCUCAAUCCCUCAACUUAAUUCAACAUACUAAUAAUUCUAUUUCCACUCAACUUAAGUAAUUACUCGGCAUGAUAACUUACAUUAAUAAAAAGCAAGUUGCCUAGGUAAUUCGUCAAGAAGCAUAUGUUAAUUAAUGAAUACUUCAAAUCAUAGAAAAUUAAGACGUGUCUCAAAACAUAAAAACAAAGAUAAGCCCUAAAAUCACAACUAGCCCCUUAUAUUCUUGAGUUCCUUUGUAAUAACUCCCCCAUAUGGCUUAUGAUAAUCAUGUUCACCUUAGAAAGUUGAUUCACACACAUUAAGGCAUCACUAUAGCGAACAAUAAAGAUCCAUAUAAUACGUAUAUGUAAUAGCUAGUAGUUAAAAACAAGUAGUCUCAGCGAACAUGACCAGUCACUAAGAGAAAGGUCUGCCCAUUUUGCAAUAAUGAAAGAUACACCAAGCAAUAUGUCCAAAUCUAACUUAAAACAUUAGAAUACAAGUCAUAUGCCCCUUAUUGACCUCUAUUAAUGGGAAUAAUACUACUUUAACUUUCCAAAUAUUUUUGAGUUACCAGUUGGGACUAACUAAUCCCAAUUGUGUUUGUUGAGAUACUAAUUGUAAUUUGCUAGAUACAAUUAGACUCAAUUGAGAGAGGCAACACCAAUUAGAACUUUAUGAAAGUUAAAAAGUGAGAUAAAUUCUUAAAUGUCUUGUAGCUUUCUACAGAUUCAGUACCGAUGUCAACAUACAAAUUCACAACAAUUUAAUCAAUAUUUGCUCUUGUACUAGGAACCCGAUAACUUAGGCUUUGAUAUCAUCUUUUCAUGAACAAAACCAUAGAUCAUGCGGGCAUUUACACAACUCUACCCUAGAUGGGAGAACCCUUAUUACCAAAUAAUUCAUUAAGUGUGGAAGUUAAAUGAAACUAUAUUUUGAAGAAAUAAAUCCCUUACACAUGAAUAAAAUCCUAUUCAAAAUACAAUUAUUAACUAUUUACAAUGCAAAAUAAGUUAAUAAUGAUUGUCCAAAAACUAAUCUAACCGGUACAAGAGUGCUAAGAAAUGAAAGAGAGAAUCUGGGGCACAAUGUCCAUGUAAGAAUAUGAUUAUAUGAGCUACUGAAGAGUAAUAAUUGUCAUAGCUAUACAAAUUCCAACUGACCUAUAAUAUGGCUAUACCCCUAAUGGAGAUAUGGUAAGUGUAGUAUUAGUACAACCACAUGUAAUGGUAGGUAUCAUUGACCAACCAGGUUAGAAAUAGAUAACAACAAUAGAAAAUAGGAUAAAAUCAUGACACCAGUUAAAGAUUCGUAUAACAAAACCUCCCAAGGUAUCUUCAGGUCUUUGACAUAUUCCCUUUAGCAUCUACGUGGCCUUCCUGAUAUUUAACACUUUUGUGUAUCUUGUCCUUUGAUGAUUUGGCCCUACUCAAGUCUAUUAAUUCUUCACUAACAAACCUAUGAUUCUGUUCCUAAUUUGAGCAUGAUUCACUACCUUACCCCUAAAAAUUACUAACGAGACUACAAGCUUGACUAUCUAGAGUACUAUAAGGACUAGAAUGGGUCAGCCAAUUAUCUCUCAUACAUAUAUAAUACAAAUGCAAACAGAGGACAAUCUUAUCCCUACAUCGAAAUAGAUAUAAGAAUAAACAACACCUUAAUUACACUUAAGCAAUUCUCUUUUUAUAAUGAUAGCACCCUAUGUAUUUUUAAUAAAAUAAUGUGUGCAUGCAUGCAAAAAGUACACAAAUAGUAAAGUAAGAAAGGACUCUCGGAUAUGACCUGCAAGGGAUGAGCUCAGUCUCUGUACUAGUAUCGAUGUGGUACCCGAUCCAAUAAUAGUGUCUUUGUGACAUCCAAUCUAUAUAACAUCUCACUAUAAUCUAAACAACAACAUCGUCUCAAUAUCAUCUCAACACAAUCUCUUCAUCAUAUAAAUAUCCAAUUUUUAAUGUAACAAUGCAGUCAAUACUCAAAAGUCAUGCCCAAAGGCAAUCACAAACAUCUAAUUCACAUAUAAGCAUAGAGCCAAAUAAAUCUUUAAAACAAAAAACCAACUUCUAUUCUACCGCAGAUUAUACAAAUAGUUAUCUUACAUAAUGAUGCAAAUAUAUUCUUAUGUAUAUGUAUUUACAAAAGCAUAUAGUAAAACUAUCCCAUGUGACGCUAGACAACUUGCAUUCUCCCGAAAUAUGCUCAUACACUUAGUUAGCACUCAUGCCUCUGCUAGCAAUUCCAAUUUCAAAUUCUAUGCCUACUACUCACUGAAAGUUACACCAACUAAUGACCUCUAUCCUAGGUACUAAGUCCAUUUGUCACUAACCUUACCUCCACCCCAGUUAUAGAUAUAAACAACCACAUACACAAAGCUUACAAUUUUUUCAACUCUUGUAAACACCUCACAACAUUCAGGACUCUACUACCCCUACCCUAUUUUCCAUUAUCAAACUGAACUUUACUAAACCCCCUAUGAUUCUGACAAAGGUAUAAUCUAGCCCUAACUCUCACACAUAGAAUUCGUAGUCAUUUUAAUCUUUUUUCUAACCCAAUAAUAUGCUUAAAUUGAUUGAAUUGCCUCUAGCUCUCAAAAAACUUAUACACUUAGAUAAUUAAAUAGUAAUAAAAUUUAAUAACAUAUCAUCUGAUAUCACACAGUCAAAACCUAGUUUGAUUAUCAAAUUUUGUCCAACUAAACUCUAGGCCCAAAGCCUAAGGCAUGAAAUCUCCUAACAUUAAUAUCAUUAUACAUGAAUCUAGCCCAAGUCUACUACAAUUAAAUCACAACAUACCUCAUAGAUGAAUUUCAUUGCUACAAAGAGCGGAGACUUGUCCCAAUGUGCUUGGCCUCAUCAAAUAUUGGAAUUCCAUGAAAAAUGCCUCAGAAUCAUCCUCUUUUGAUCCUGAACUCCAAAUCCUCAUAUAUUAGGAAAAAUAUUCACUUGGGUUGUUUUCGGAGGAGGGAGACGACAUAAGGAUGAUCAACGAUAUAAGGGUUUCAACUAACACUCAUAUUAGGUAUUGCCCGACUACCACUGUAGCAGCGAAAGUACAAUUGCAGUGGUGGAUCUACCAUCGCAGCGACAUGUCAAUGGCUUGACCUAAUUUAUCCCAAUACCAACCCAAUUAGAUUUGGUCCAUGCUUUUUCGUAUGAAAUAAU